This 88-nucleotide transfer RNA is filed under the name Caldifarciminota bacterium. Its description in RNAcentral is "tRNA-Leu". It matches the Rfam family "tRNA". From Rfam's summary of the family: Transfer RNA (tRNA) molecules are approximately 80 nucleotides in length. Their secondary structure includes four short double-helical elements and three loops (D, anti-codon, and T loops). RNAcentral also lists the same sequence under 1 other name. Lineage: Bacteria; Pseudomonadati; Caldifarciminota. The record is from RNAcentral.
GCCGGGGUGGCGGAAUUGGCAGACGCCAGGGACUUAAAAUCCCUUGACCCGGAUACGGGUCGUGCCGGUUCGACUCCGGCCCCCGGCA